GAUGAACGCUGGCGGCGUGCCUAAUACAUGCAAGUCGAGCGAACGGACGAGAAGCUUGCUUCUCUGAUGUUAGCGGCGGACGGGUGAGUAACACGUGGAUAACCUACCUAUAAGACUGGGAUAACUUCGGGAAACCGGAGCUAAUACCGGAUAAUAUUUUGAACCGCAUGGUUCAAAAGUGAAAGACGGUCUUGCUGUCACUUAUAGAUGGAUCCGCGCUGCAUUAGCUAGUUGGUAAGGUAACGGCUUACCAAGGCAACGAUGCAUAGCCGACCUGAGAGGGUGAUCGGCCACACUGGAACGGAGCCACGGUCCAUACUCCUACGGGAGGCAGCAGUAGGGAAUCUUCCGCAAUGGGCGAAAGCCUGACGGAGCAACGCCGCGUGAGUGAUGAAGGUCUUCGGAUCGUAAAACUCUGUUAUUAGGGAAGAACAUAUGUGUAAGUAACUGUGCACAUCUUGACGGUACCUAAUCAGAAAGCCACGGCUAACUACGUG
Molecule: ribosomal RNA, 497 nt
Filed under: uncultured bacterium
Lineage: Bacteria
Description: partial 16S ribosomal RNA
Rfam family: Bacterial small subunit ribosomal RNA
Source: RNAcentral